RNAcentral lists this small nuclear RNA (20 nucleotides) under Arabidopsis thaliana (thale cress). RNAcentral's name for it is "snRNA_17246". Lineage: Eukaryota; Viridiplantae; Streptophyta; Magnoliopsida; Brassicales; Brassicaceae. The record is from RNAcentral.
UUGGGUUUUCUGUUGGCUGU